This is a long non-coding RNA of Daphnia carinata, 622 nucleotides long. RefSeq lists it as uncharacterized. Lineage: Eukaryota; Metazoa; Arthropoda; Branchiopoda; Diplostraca; Daphniidae. The transcript is spliced from 3 exons. The record is from RefSeq and is a predicted model, not a curated record.
UUAAGCUUCAAAACAAGAUUUUGGCGCAAACUGAGUCUCCAUGAAUCUCAAAGAAGCCAGGGAAAUCGGAAGGCUGAUGAGAAGAAGCACGUUGUAAUAGCGUUGCCGCCAAUAAUCGGAAAAGUAAAAGAAACAUGGUGGAAAUACCAAACAUUCAGGAUGUUCAAGAUUUCUUCCAGUCUCUUUGGCCGGAGGAAGGGAUUAAGGGACUAAAGAAAUUAAGAAUCCCAUCAGAUUGUGGCACAACCAACUGGCAUGAAACAGCAGUCCACGGUGCAUGUAUAGCCAGAAAUGAAGGAUUGAUUACUGGUGUAUUGAGUGGGCUGGUGUAAACAUCUAACAAUCUGGUAAAAAAAGUGUGGUAAAGACAAUGUUGUAUGAGUAAUUUAAUAUUGUUGUUAAAGUCUUCAAAAAUAUUUGCCAAUGCUUCCCCAUUGUCCCCAGAAACAACUAGCGGUGUAAAACUAAGGUUCUUCAAAUGGUUGUUGUAGUGUAUUUAAUCUGGAAAUGCUCCAACCUACAACUGCUCAAGGUAUUCUUUUUUAUAUUUGUUUUAUUCUCAAACAACGCUUUAAUGGUAAUGUGGAUAAGGAAUAAUACCUCCACUCAUUUAAUAGGUUUU